This is a non-coding RNA of Xyrichtys novacula (pearly razorfish), 25339 nucleotides long. NCBI's taxonomy places the organism in Eukaryota, Metazoa, Chordata, Actinopteri, Labriformes, Labridae. The record is from the annotation of a GenBank genome assembly.
GGGGAGGCGGUCGCACUGGGGGCGGCGCGACACGGCUCGGGCCCGACAGUGCCCCAACGGGGUCCUAGUCUUUGUUUCUUUCUUUCUUUUUUCUUUUUCCUCCCCUUUGAACUUGAAAAUGGCCCACUUCCCACUGGCGAAAACUCAUGAAAUUUGGCAGGACGACCGGGCCUGGUGAAAAAUUUGAUAUUCUGAAGUCGCCAAAACAAUAAAAUGCAAAAUGGCUCCAUAGCGCCCCCUAAGGUGAAAAUUCACACUAUUCACUGUCACGACUGUACGCUUUGUCAAAAUGACACAAAAAUUGACACACACAUGUAUCUCAAUAAGAUCUACAAAAAAGUCAGUGCGGCCGUAUCUGUCAAAAUUACGGUUAAAGGGUUAUUUCGCAUUUUUUGCCGAUCUGCACACAUUGGAAUUUCGCUAACUCCUCCGAAGGCUUUCGUUCCACCGGCACCACAUUUGCUCAGGCCAAUCUACACCCCGUGGCCAUUAAAAGUUAUCAAAAUCAUGACGCUGCACCCCAAGGUUUAGGUUCUAGGGGGCGCCAAAGAUAACACUAAAAUCUACAUAUUUAAAAGUCUUAUAACUUUUUAUUUUUGUCCUCACUGGCCUCCAAGUUUUCUAGGAUGAUGCAAUGUCCAGCCAUCAACACAUUUGUGAAGGAAUUUUUACUCCCCAAAAGAGCGCCCCCCCAUGGCAGGAGAAAAAAGUCCAUUUUUUCUUGUCCCCUAAGGUGAAAAUACACAUUGUUGAGUGUCACGCCUAUACGCUUUGUCAAAAUGACACAAAAAUUGACACACACAUGUAACUCAAUAAGAUCUACGAAAAAGUCAAUGCGCGCGUAUCUGUCAAAUGUACGGUUAAAGGGUUAUUCCGCAUUUUUUGCCGAUCCGCACACAUUGGAAUGUGGCUAACUCCUCCUAAGGCUUUCGUUCCACCGGCACCACAUUUGCUCAGGCCAAUCUACACCCCAUGGCCAUUAAAAGUUAUCAAAAUCAUGACGCUGCACCCCACGGUUUAGGUUCUAGGGGGCGCCAAAGAUAACCCUAAAAUCCACAUAUUUAAAAGUCUUAUAACUUUUUAUUUUUGUCCUCACUGGCCUCCAAGUUUUCUAGGAUGAUGCAAUGUCCAGCCAUCAACACAUUUGUGAAGGAAUUUUUACUCCCCAAAAGAGCGCCCCCCCAUGGCAGGAGAAAAAAGUCCAUUUUUUCUUGUCCCCUAAGGUGAAAAUACAUAUUGUUGAGAUUCACGCCUAUACGCUUUGUCAUAUUGACACAAAAUUUGACAAUCACGUGCCUUGCCUGGUAUCAUUUUUUUCAGCACAACCUCACCUGUGCGAAUUUACAGUUAUUUUAUCAUGUUGACAUACUGAAUUUACACAAUGGACCCAAAUUCACACACAAAACAUAAAAUCCGAGUGGAAAAAAGUAACAUUUUUACUGUGAAAACCACAAAUAUGUGUGAUGAACUGUUUUUAAAACUUAAACUUCAAAUAAAAAUUGUAAACUUCAAAACAUAUGCAAAUUUUUAACAAAGAACAUAGUGAUUUACCUCUAUUUACAUCAAAAUGCAGGCAAUGGCCCAGGCGUUCUUUGUAAAAUUAUUUACAAAACACUGUUUAGUCUCACAAAUGUCACUUUUUAUUUAUGCCACUACAAAAAAACAUGAUGUAAAUGAUGCAUGAUGUAAAACAUGAUGUAAAAAACUUGUGUAGAUCCUCCUGUAUGUCAGUCCAUGUGUAAUUUUUCCAUAAUUCUUUGUUUUUUGCAGCAUUUUUGUUAGUGUAACUGCAGAUUGUGCUGACAGUGUCUAUGGCACAAAAAAAAAAAAAAUUAAAAUGCCUCAACAUGAACCCCUGGUGGUCUCUGAGGGUGAAACCUGCUAACUGCUGCAGCUCUGUCAGCUUCAGUCUCCCAUGCAGAGCUCUGAGCGCAUGUGUGGCUCUGCACCCUUAGCAGCGUUGCUAACUCCUCAGUAAGGAAAGCCUGCUUCAUGUCAGAGUCUCUAAACUCCAGAAGAAGUCGAUAAAAGUCCCUUUCUUUCUAAAAAAAAGUCGUUAGGGGGUCUGAAAAGUCAUUGAAUCUAACAACAAAGUCGCUAGGUUUGCAACUACGUGUCCCAGACUGCAUCCCUGCUGAGAGUCCCUCCCUCCCUUCUCAUGUUGCAGGAAGAACGUAAGCGCCCUCCCCUUGUCAAUCAGUCACCAUAUAAUUUUGGAUUGGUUGUUGUGGUGAAGUUUUCCACCAAUAGGAGAGAUGUUGUGGUGUGUUUUUUUUUUCUUUUGGCAAGCCUUUUCCGCCUGUAAGACCUGUUGCUAAUGUCUGCAUGCUAUGUUUUCCUGUCUCAUACAGCGCGAUCGAGCGCCGAACGUGAUCAAAAUAAGCAGAAAAAAAGUAUCGCGGACAUAAUUUAUCAUAACUCUGGUUUUAUUUGGCCUAUCAACACAAUUUAAAAACUGGUAUAUAGGUUGAGGUCCUCACUUUUGAGAUAAGUUGAAACGGAGAGUCAACGAGGCUCCGUCUUGCAGCUACAUCCGGUUAAAUAUGUCAUGUGACUUGAACGCACACACAGACACACACACACGCACACACACACACACACACACACACACACACACACUCAGAGUCUGGUUUUUAGCACCUGCAAAAACAUGCUAUUUACAUAUUUGACAAGAAUGCAGAGGCUCCUUUUGCCCCUGAAAAAAAUCAAAUUUCAAACACAACUUGACUGGUCAUUUCUCCAAAAGACAACCAUGAAGCUCCAUCCAAACCUGAAGCAGGCAGUUGGUGCAUGUGUACAGUAACCUGAGGGGAGUGAGGUGAGUGCUUCUGAGGAGAACAUGAGCAGUGAAGAUUCACCUUGGAGCUAGAACAGAGACAUGCACAAGAUUAUACAGGGGCAGGGGCUCAAGUUUUUUCCAGUCGUUUAUACAAUAUGGAAAUUAAUGUGAAAUUAAAACACAAAGUAUUAAUAGAAAGGUAAUGACUGUCCUGUGUAGGUGACAGUGAUAUCGAAUAGGCUAGGCACUCACGAGGCUGGCUGUGGCAAGUGUAAGUGAAAGCAACACGCACUGGCAGGAAGAACAGCAAACGCCGAUGAAGGAAAAGGGUCUUUGCAGUGAUGGGCGUUACAAGAGAGGGCGAUGGCCAGAGGACACAAAUGGGACGGGGAGGCAGCACGUUGGGGGGGGGGGGGGGCGACACGGCUCGGGCCCGCCAGUGCCCCAACGGGGUCCUAGUUCUUUCUUUAGGGCCCGAGCGUAGCUGCUAAGCAGCUGCGAGAGCCCUCUUGUUCCUGAUGGAUUCUUCUUUUGUUAUUAUUAUUAUUAUUAUUUUUCCUCCGCUUUAAACUGGAAAAUGGCCCACUUCCCACUGGCGAAAACUCAGGAAAUUUGGCAGGACGACCGGGCCUGGUGAAAAAUUCGAUAUUCUGAAGUCGCCCAAACAAUAAAAUGCAAAAUGGCUCCAUAGCGCCCCCUAAGGUGAAAAUUCACACUAUUGACUGUCACGCCUGUACGCUUUGUCAUAUUGACACAAAAAUUGACACACACAUGUAUCUCAAUAAGAUCUACAAAAAAGUCAGUGCGGGCGUAUCUGUCAAAUGUACGGUUAAAGGGUUAUUUCGCAUUUUUUGCAGAUCCGCACACAUUGGAAUUUCGCUAACUCCUCCGAAGGCUUUCGUUCCACCGGCACCACAUUUGCUCAGGCCAAUCUACACUCCAUGGCCAUUCAAAGUUGUACAAAUCAUGAUGCUGCACCCCAUGGUUUAGGUUCUAGGGGGCGCCAAAAAUAACCCAAAAAUCCACAUUCUUAAAAGUUUUAUAACUUUUUUUUUUUGUCCUCACUGGCCUCCAAGUUUUCUAGGGUGAUGCAAUGUCCAGCCAUCAACACAUUUGUGAAGGAAUUUUUACUCCCCAAAAGAGCGCCCCCCCAUGGCAGGAGAAAAAAGUCAAUUUUUUCUUGUCCCCUAAGGUGAAAAUACACAUUGUUGAGAUUCACGCCUGUACGCUUUGUCAUAUUGACAAAAAAUUUGACACACACAUGUAUCUCAAUAAGAUCUACGAAAAAGUCAAUGCGCGCGUAUCUGUAAAAUGUACGGCUAAACGGCUAUUUUGCAUUUUUUGCCGAUUCGCACACUUUGGAAUGUGGCUAACUCCUCCUAAGGCUUUCAUCCCACUGACACCAAAUUUGCUCAGGCCAAUCUACACCCCAUGGCCAUUCAAAGUUGUAAAAAUCAUGCCGCUGCACCCCAUGGUUUACGUUCUAGGGGGCGCCAAAGAUGACCCAAAUAUCCACAUUCUUAAAAGUCGUUUUGGCAACUGCAGGAGUACAGAGUACUGCAGGAUACACACACAGACACACACACACACAGACACACACACACACACACACACACACACACACACACACACACACACACACACACACAUACACACACAUACAUACACACUCAGAGUCUGUUUUUUAGCACCUGCAAAAACAUGCUAUUUACAUAUUUGACAACAAUGCAGAGACUUCCUUUUGCCCCUGAAAAAAAUGAAAUUUCAAACACAACUUGACUGCUCAUUUCUCCAAAAGACAACCAUGAAGCUCCAUCCAAACCUGAAGCAGGCAGUUGGUGCAUGUGUACAGUAACCUGAGGGGAGUGAGGUGACUGCUUCUGAGGAGAACAUGAGCAGUGAAGAUUCACCUUGGAGCUAGAACAGGGACGUGCACAUGAUUAUACAGGGCCAGGGGCUCAAGUUUUUUCCAGUCGUUUAGACAAUAUGGAAAUUAAUGUGAAAUUAAAAAACAAAGUAUUAAUAGAAAGGUAAUGACUGUCCUGUGUAGGUGACAGUGAUAUCCAAUAGGCUAGGAUUUGGCAAGUGCAAGUGAAAGCAACACGCACUGGCAGGAAGAACAGCAAACGCAGAUGAAGGAAAAGGGUCUUUGCAGUGAUGGGCGUUACCAGAGAGGACGAUGGCCAGAGGACGCGAAUGGAAUGGGGAGGCAGCGCGUUGGGGGCGGGGGGGGGGGGGGGGGCGCGACACAGCUCGGGCCCGACAGUGCCCCAACGGGGCCCUAGUUAGGGCCCGAGCGUAGCUGCUAAGCAGCUGCGAGAGCCCUCUUGUUCCUGCAUGUUUCCUUCUUUUGUUAUUAUUAGGGCCCGAGCGUAGCUGCUAAGCAGCUGCGAGAGCCCUCUUGUUCCUGUAGUUUCCUUCUUUUGUUAUUAUUAUUAUUAUUAUUUUUCCUCCCCUUUGAACUGGAAAAUGGCCCACUUCCCACUGGCGAAAACUCAUGAAAUUUGGCAGGACGACCGGGCCUGGUGAAAAAUUUGAUAUUCCGAAGUUGCCCAAACCAGAAAAUGCAAAAUGGCUCCAUAGCGCCCCCUAAGGUGAAAAUUCACACUAUUCACUGUCACGCCUGUACGCUUUGUCAAAAUGACACAAAAAUUGACACACACAUGUAUCUCAAUAAGAUCUACAAAAAAGUCAGUGCGGGCGUAUCUGUCAAAUGUACGGUUAAAGGGUUAUUCCGCAUUUUUUGCCGAUCCGCACACAUUGGAAUUUCGCUAACUCCUCCGAAGGCUUUCGUUCCACCGGCACCACAUUUGCUCAGGCCAAUCUACACCCCAUGGCCAUUAAAAGUUAUUCAAAUCAUGACGCUGCACCCCACGGUUUAGGUUCUAGGGGGCGCCAAAGAUAACCCUAAGAUCCACAUAUUUAAAAGUCUUAUAACUUUUUAUUUUUGCCCUCACUGGCCUCCAAGUUCUCUAGGAUGAUGCAAUGUCCAGCCAUCAACACAUUUGUGAAGGAAUUUUUACUCCCCAAAAGAGCGCCCCCCCAUGGCAGGAGAAAAAAAUCCAUUUUUUCUUGUCCCCUAAGGUGAAAAUACACAUUGUUGAGUGUAACACCUGUACGCUUUGGCAAAAUGACACAAAAAUUGACACACACAUGUAUCUCAAUAAGAUCUACGAAAAAGUCAAUGCGCGCGUAUCUGUCAAAUGUACGGUUAAAGGGUUAUUCCGCAUUUUUUGCCGAUCCGCACACAUUGGAAUUUCGCUAACUCCUCCGAAGGCUUUCGUUCCACCGGCACCACAUUUGCUCAGGCCAAUCUACACCCCAUGGCCAUUAAAAGUUAUUCAAAUCAUGACGCUGCACCCCACGGUUUAGGUUCUAGGGGGCGCCAAAGAUAACCGUAAAAUCCACAUAUUUAAAAGUCUUAUAACUUUUUAUUUUUGUCCCCACUGGCCUCCAAGUUUUCUAGGAUGAUGCAAUGUCCAGCCAUCAACACAUUUGUGAAGGAAUUUUUACUCGGCAAAAGAGCGCCCCCCCAUGGCAGGAGAAAAAAGUCAAUUUUUUCUUGUCCACUAAGGUGAAAAUACACAUUGUUGAGUGCUACGCCUGUAUGUUUUGUCGUAUUGACACAAAAUUUUACAUACACGUGUAUUUCAAUAAGAUCUUCGAAAAAGUCAAUGGCCACGUAUCUGUAAAAUGUAUGGUUAAAGGGUUAUUUCGCAUUUUUUGCAGAUUCGCACACAUUGGAAUUUCGCUAAUUCCUCCGAAGGCUUUCGUUCCACCGGCACCACAUUUGCUCAGGCCAAUCUACACCCCAUGGCCAUUAAAAGUUAUUCAAAUCAUGACGCUGCACCCCACGGUUUAGGUUCUAGGGGGCGCCAAAUAUAACCCUAAAAUCCACAUAUUUAAAAGUCUUAUAACUUUUUAUUUUUGUCCUCACUGGCCUCCAUGUUUUCUAGGAUGAUGCAAUGUCCAGCCAUCAACACAUUUGUGAAGGAAUUUUUACUCCCCAAAAGAGCGCCCCCCCAUGGCAGGAGAAAAAAGUCCAUUUUUUCUUGUCCCCUAAGGUGAAAAUACACAUUGUUGAGUGUAACACCUGUACGCUUUGGCAAAAUGACACAAAAAUUGACACACACAUGUAUCUCAAUAAAAUCUACGAAAAAGUCAAUGCGCGCGUAUCUGUCAAAUGUACGGUUAAAGGGUUAUUCCGCAUUUUUUGCCGAUCCGCACACAUUGGAAUUUCGCUAACUCCUCCGAAGGCUUUCGUUCCACCGGCACCACAUUUGCUCAGGCCAAUCUACACCCCAUGGCCAUUAAAAGUUAUUCAAAUCAUGACGCUGCACCCCACGGUUUAGGUUCUAGGGGGCGCCAAAGAUAACCCUAAGAUCCACAUAUUUAAAAGUCUUAUAACUUUUUAUUUUUGCCCUCACUGGCCUCCAAGUUUUCUAGGAUGAUGCAAUGUCCAGCCAUCAACACAUUUGUGAAGGAAUUUUUACUCCCCAAAAGAGCGCCCCCCCAUGGCAGGAGAAAAAAGUCCAUUUUUUCUUGUCCCCUAAGGUGAAAAUACACAUUGUUGAGUGUAACACCUGUACGCUUUGGCAAAAUGACACAAAAAUUGACACACACAUGUAUCUCAAUAAAAUCUACGAAAAAGUCAAUGCGCGCGUAUCUGUCAAAUGUACGGUUAAAGGGUUAUUCCGCAUUUUUUGCCGAUCCGCACACAUUGGAAUUUCGCUAACUCCUCCGAAGGCUUUCGUUCCACCGGCACCACAUUUGCUCAGGCCAAUCUACACCCCAUGGCCAUUAAAAGUUAUUCAAAUCAUGACGCUGCACCCCACGGUUUAGGUUCUAGGGGGCGCCAAAGAUAACCCAAAAAUCCACAUAUUUAAAAGUCUUAUAACUUUUUAUUUUUGUCCUCACUGGCCUCCAAGUUUUCUAGGAUGAUGCAAUGUCCAGCCAUCAACACAUUUGUGAAGGAAUUUUUACUCCCCAGAAGAGCGCCCCCCCAUGGCAGGAGAAAAAAGUCAAUUUUUUCUUGUCCCCUAAGGUGGAAAUUCACACUAUUGACUGUCACGCCUGUACGCUUUAUCAUAUUGACACAAAAAUUGACACACAUAUGUAUCUCAAUAAGAUCUACAAAAAAGUCAAUGCGCGCGUAUCUGUCAAAUGUACGGUUAAAGGGCUAUUUUGCAUUUUUUGCCGAUUCGCACACAUUGGAAUGUGGCUAACUCCUCCUAAGGCUUUCGUCCCACUGACACCAAAUUUGCUCAGGCCAAUCUACACCCCAUGGCCAUUCAAAGUUGUAAAAAUCAUGACGCUGCACCCCACGGUUUAGGUUCUAGGGGGCGCCAAAUAUAACCCUAAAAUCCACAUAUUUAAAAGUCUUAUAACUUUUUAUUUUUGUCCUCACUGGCCUCCAUGUUUUCUAGGAUGAUGCAAUGUCCAGCCAUCAACACAUUUGUGAAGGAGUUUUUUCUCUUUAAAAGAGCGCCCCCCCAUGGCAGGAGAAUAAAGUCAAGUUUUUCCUGUUCAUCAUUCAAUGGCUCAAACGCACUGCUCUCUCGGCAAAAGCGAAAGGAGGAGCAACUUGCCAUUUGGAUAUAUCUUAGCUGUGUUUGUGCCCUCACUCAUGGUCCAGACUUUUUUCAAAUAGGACAUGGAGUUUUUCUGCAGCGAGCGUUUUGGUAGAAACUGCGCCUCCCGUUCAUUAUAAUGGUAAAUGACCACAAACAAGUGCGCACACCAUCUUUGGACCUUGAGUGUGACGCGAUCGGGUGGGGGAGGCGGUCGCGCUGGGGGCGGCGUGACACGGCUCGGGCCCGCCAGUGCCCCAACGGGGCCCUAGUUAUUAGGGCCCGAGCGUAGCUGCUAAGCAGCUGCGAGAGCCCUAUUAUUCCCCAAGGGGUUUUUCUUUGUUUCUUUUUUCUUUUUCCUCCCCUUUGAACUGGAAAAUGGCCCACUUCCCACUGGCGAAAACUCAUGAAAUUUGGCAGGACGACCGGGCCUGGUGAAAAAUUUGAUAUUCCGAAGUCGCCCAAACAAGAAAAUGCAAAAUGGCUCCAUAGCGCCCCCUAAGGUGAAAAUUCACACUAUUGAGUGUCACGCCUGUACGCUUUGUCAAAAUGACACAAAAUUUGACACACACAUGUAUCUCAAUAAGAUCUACAAAAAAGUCAGUGCGGGCGUAUCUGUCAAAUGUACGGUUAAAGGGUUAUUUCGCAUUUUUUGCUGAUCCGCACACAUUGGAAUUUCGCUAACUCCUCCGAAGGCUUUCGUUCCACCGGCACCACAUUUGCUCAGGCCAAUCUACACCCCAUGGCCAUUAAAAGUUAUUCAAAUCAUGACGCUGCACCCCACGGUUUAGGUUCUAGGGGGCGCCAAAGAUAACCCUAAAAUCCACAUAUUUAAAAGUCUUAUAACUUUUUAUUUUUGCCCUCACUGGCCUCCAAGUUUUCUAGGAUGAUGCAAUGUCCAGCCAUCAACACAUUUGUGAAGGAAUUUUUACUCCCCAAAAGAGCGCCCCCCCAUGGCAGGAGAAAAAAGUCCAUUUUUUCUUGUCCCCUAAGGUGAAAAUACACAUUGUUGAGUGUCACGCCUGUACGCUUUGUCAAAAUGACACAAAAAUUGACACACACAUGUAUCUCAAUAAGAUCUACAAAAAAGUCCAUGCGCGCGUAUCUGUCAAAUGUACGGUUAAAGGGUUAUUCCGCAUUUUUUGCCGAUUCGCACACAUUGGAAUUUCGCUAACUCCUCCGAAGGCUUUCGUUCCACCGGCACCACAUUUGCUCAGGCCAAUCUACACCCCAUGGCCAUUAAAAGUUAUUCAAAUCAUGACGCUGCACCCCACGGUUUACGUUCUAGGGGGCGCCAAAGAUAACCCAAAAAUCCACAUUCUUAAAAGUCUUAUAACUUUUUACUUUUGUCCUCACUGGCCUCCAAGUUUUCUAGGAUGAUGCAAUGUCCAGCCAUCAACACAUUUGUGAAGGAAUUUUUACUCCCUAAAAGAGCGCCCCCCAUGGCAGGAGAAAAAAAUCAAUUUUUUCUUGUCCCCUAAGGUGAAAAUACACAUUGUUGACUGUCACGCCUGUACGCUUUGGCAAAAUGACACAAAAAUUGACAAUCAUGUGUAUCUCAAUUAGAUCUACGAAAAAGUCAAAGAGCGCGUAUCUGUAUAAUGUACGGUAAAAGGGCUAUUUUGCAUUUUUUGCCGAUUCGCACACAUUGGAAUUUCGCUAACUCCUCCUAAGGCUUUCGUCCCACUGACACCAAAUAUGCUCAGGCCAAUCUACACUCCAUGGCCAUUCAAAGUUGUAAAAAUCAUGACGCUGCACCCCACGGUUUACGUUUUGGGGGGCGCCAAAGAUGACCCAAAUAUACAUUACAGUAGACAAAGUAGUUUUGCCCACUGAGUGGCGCCAAAGGGACUUGUCUGUGGAGUCUGUGAGUCACUAUUGGCCGUUUUUGACUACUUUAGAUUUUACCUUUAUAUUUCCUCUUACAAAAUUUUUACCUUGCCUUGCCUGGUAUCAUUUUUUUCAGCACAACCUCACCUGUGUCAAUUUACAGUUAUUUUAUCAUUUUGACAUACUAUAUUUACACAUUGGACCCAAAUUCACACACAAAACAUAAAAUCCGAGUGGAAAAAAGUAACGUUUUUACUGUGAAAACCACAAAUAUGUGUGAUGAACUGUUUUUAAAACUUAAACUUCAAAUAAAAAUUGUAAACUUCAAAACAUAUGCAAAUUUUUAACAAAGAACAUAGUAAUUUACCUCUAUUUACAUCAAAAUGCAGGCAAUGGCCCAGGUGUUCUUUGUAAAAUUAUUUACAAAACACUGUAUAGUCUCACAAAUGUCACUUUUUAUUUAUGCCACUACAAAAAAACAUGAUGUAAAUGAUGCAUGAUGUAAAACAUGAUGUAAAAAACUUGUGUAUAUCCUCCUCUAUGUUAGUCCAUGUGUAAUUUUUCCAUAAUUCUUUGUUUUUUGCAGCAUUUUUGUUAGUGUAACUGCAGAUUGUGCUGACAGUGUCUAUGGCAAAAAAAAAAAAAAACUGAAAAUGCCUCAACAUGAACCCCUGGUGGUCUCUGAGGGUGAAACCUGCUAACUGCUGCAGAUCUGUCAGCUUCAUGCAGAGCUCGGAGCACAUGUGUGGCUCUGCACCCUUAGCAGCGUUGCUAACUCCUCAGUAAGGAAAGCCUGCUUCAUGUCAGAGUCUCUAAACUCCAGAAGAAGUCGAUAAAAGUCACUUUCUUUCUAAAAAAAAAGUCGUUAGGGGGUCUGAAAAGUCAUUGAAUCUAACAACAAAGUCGCUAGGUUUGCAACUACGUGUCCCAGACUGCAUCCCUGCUGAGAGUCCCUCCCUCCCUUCUCAUAUUGCAGGAAGAACGUAAGCACCCGCCCCUUGUCAAUCAGUCACCAUAUAAUUUUGGAUUGGUUGUUGUGGUGAAGUUUUCCACCAAUAGGAGAGAUGUUGUGGUGUGUUUUCUUUUUCCUUUGGCAAGCCUUUUCCGCCUGUAAGACCUGUCGCUAAUGUCUGCAUGCUAUGUUUUCCUGUCUCAUACAGCGCGAUCGAGCGCCGAACGUGAUCAAAAUAAGCAGAAAACAAGUAUCGGGGACAUAAUUUAUCAUAACUCUGGUUUUAUUUGGCCUAUCAACACAAUUUAAAAACUGGUAUAUAGGUUGAGGUCCUCACUUUUGAGAUAAGUUGAAACGGAGUCAACGAGGCUCCGUCUUGCAGCUACAUCCGGUUAAAUAUGUCAUGUGACUUGAACGCACACACACACACACACACACACACACACACACACACACACACACACACACACACACACACAGACACACACACACACGCACACACACACACUCAGAGUCUGGUUUUUAGCACCUGCAAAAACAUGCUAUUUACAUAUUUGACAAGAAUGCAGAGGCUCCUUUUGCCCCUGAAAAAAAUCAAAUUUCAAACACAACUUGACUGGUCAUUUCUCCAAAAGACAACCAUGAAGCUCCAUCCAAACCUGAAGCAGGCAGUUGGUGCAUGUGUACAGUAACCUGAGGGGAGUGAGGUGACUGCUUCUGAGGAGAACAUGAGCAGUGAAGAUUCACCUUAGAGCUAGAACAGAGACGUGCACAUGAUUAUACAGGGGCAGGGGCUCAAGUUUUUUCCACUUGUUUAUACAAUAUGGAAAUUAAUGUGAAAUUAAAAAACAAAGUAUUAAUAGAAAGGUAAUGACUGUCCUGAGUAGGUGACAGUGAUAUCCAAUAGGCUAGGCACUCAAGAGGCUGGCUGUGGCAAGUGUAAGUGAAAGCAACACGCACUGGCAGGAAGAACAGCAAACGCCGAUGAAGGAAAAGGGUCUUUGCAGUGAUGGGUGUUACCAGAGAGGGCGAUGGCCAGAGGACACGAAUGGGACGGGGAGGCAGCGCGUUGGGGGGGGGACGCGACACAGCUCGGGCCCGCCAGUGCCCCAACGGGGUCCUAGUUAUUUUUCCUCCCCUUUGAACUGGAAAAUGGCCCACUUCCCACUGGCGAAAACUCAUGAAAUUUGGCAGGACGACCGGGCCUGGUGAAAAAUUUGAUAUUCCGAAGUCGGCCAAACAAGAAAAUGCAAAAUGGCUCCAUAGCGCCCCCUAAGGUGAAAAUUCACACUAUUGACUGUCACGCCUGUACGCUUUGUCAAAAUGACACAAAAAUUGACACACACAUGUAUCUCAAUAAGAUCUACAAAAAAGUCAGUGCGGGCGUAUCUGUCAAAUGUACGGUUAAAGGGUUAUUUCGCAUUUUUUGCCGAUCCGCACACAUUGGAAUUUCGCUAACUCCUCCGAAGGCUUUCGUUCCACCGGCACCACAUUUGCUCAGGCCAAUCUACACCCCAUGGCCAUUAAAAGUUAUUCAAAUCAUGACGCUGCACCCCACGGUUUAGGUUCUAGGGGGCGCCAAAGAUAACCCUAAGAUCCACAUAUUUAAAAGUCUUAUAACUUUUUAUUUUUGCCCUCACUGGCCUCCAAGUUUUCUAGGAUGAUGCAAUGUCCAGCCAUCAACACAUUUGUGAAGGAAUUUUUACUCCCCAAAAGAGCGCCCCCCCAUGGCAGGAGAAAAAAGUCCAUUUUUUCUUGUCCCCUAAGGUAAAAAUACACAUUGUUGAGUGUAACACCUGUACGCUUUGGCAAAAUGACACAAAAAUUGACACACACAUGUAUCUCAAUAAGAUCUACGAAAAAGUCAAUGCGCGCAUAUCUGUUAAAUGUACGGUUAAAGGGUUAUUCCGCAUUUUUUGCCGAUCCGCACACAUUGGAAUUUCGCUAACUCCUCCGAAGGCUUUCGUUCCACCGGCACCACAUUUGCUCAGGCCAAUCUACACCCCAUGGCCAUUAAAAGUUAUUCAAAUCAUGACGCUGCACCCCACGGUUUAGGUUCUAGGGGGCGCCAAAGAUAACCGUAAAAUCCACAUAUUUAAAAGUCUUAUAACUUUUUAUUUUUGUCCCCACUGGCCUCCAAGUUUUCUAGGAUGAUGCAAUGUCCAGCCAUCAACACAUUUGUGAAGGAAUUUUUACUCGCCAAAAGAGCGCCCCCCCAUGGCAGGAGAAAAAAGUCCAUUUUUUCUUGUCCACUAAGGUGAAAAUACACAUUGUUGAGUGCUACGCCUGUAUGUUUUGUCGUAUUGACACAAAAUUUUACAUACACGUGUAUUUCAAUAAGAUCUUCCAAAAAGUCAAUGGCCACGUAUCUGUAAAAUGUACGGUUAAAGGGUUAUUUUGCAUUUUUUGCAGAUUCGCACACAUUGGAAUUUCGCUAACUCCUCCGAAGGCUUUCGUUCCACCGGCACCACAUUUGCUCAGGCCAAUCUACACCCCAUGGCCAUUAAAAGUUAUUCAAAUCAUGACGCUGCACCCCACGGUUUAGGUUCUAGGGGGCGCCAAAGAUAACCCUAAAAUCCACAUAUUUCAAAGUCUUAUAACUUUUUAUUUUUGUCCUCACUGGCCUCCAUGUUUUCUAGGAUGAUGCAAUGUCCAGCCAUCAACACAUUUGUGAAGGAGUUUUUUCUCGUUAAAAGAGCGCCCCCCCCUGGCAGGAGAAUAAAGUCAAGUUUUUCCUGUUCAUCAUUCAAUGGCUCAAACGCACUGCUCUCUCGGCAAAAGCGAAAGGAGGAGCAACUUGCCAUUUGGAUAUAUCUUAGCUGUGUUUGUGCCCUCACUCAUGGUCCAGACUUUUUUCAAAUAGGACAUGGAGUUUUUCUGCAGCGAGCGCUUUGGUAGAAACUGCGCCUCCCGUUCAUUAUAAUGGUAAAUGACCACAAACAAGUGCGCACACCAUCUUUGGACCUUGAGUGUGACGCGAUCGGGUGGGGGAGGCGGUCGCGCUGGGGGCGGCGUGACACGGCUCGGGCCCGCCAGUGCCCCAACGGGGCCCUAGUUAGGGCCCGAGCGUAGCUGCUAAGCAGCUGCGAGAGCCCUCUUGUUCCUGCAUGUUUCCUUCUUUUGUUAUUAGGGCCCGAGCGUAGCUGCUAAGCAGCUGCGAGAGCCCUAUUAUUCCCCAAGUGGUUUUUCUUUGUUUCUUUUUUCUUUUUCCUCCCCUUUGAACUGGAAAAUGGCCCACUUCCCACUGGCGAAAACUCAUGAAAUUUGGCAGGACGACCGGGCCUGGUGAAAAAUUUGAUAUUCUGAAGUCGCCCAAACAAUACAAUGCAAAAUGGCUCCAUAGCGCCCCCUAAGGUGAAAAAUUCACCUGACGCCUGUACGCUUUGUCAAAAUGACACAAAAAUUGACACACACAUGUAUCUCAAUAAGAUCUACAAAAAAGUCAGUGCGGGCGUAUCUGUCAAAUGUACGGUUAAAGGGUUAUUGCGCAUUUUUUGCCGAUCCGCACACAUUGGAAUUUCGCUAACUCCUCCGAAGGCUUUCGUUCCACCGGCACCACAUUUGCUCAGGCCAAUCUACACCCCAUGGCCAUUAAAAGUUAUUCAAAUCAUGACGCUGCACCCCACGGUUUAGGUUCUAGGGGGCGCCAAAGAUAACCCUAAAAUCCACAUAUUUCAAAGUCUUAUAACUUUUUAUUUUUGCCCUCACUGGCCUCCAAGUUUUCUAGGAUGAUGCAAUGUCCAGCCAUCAACACAUUUGUGAAGGAAUUUUUACUCCCCAAAAGAGCGCCCCCCCAUGGCAGGAGAAAAAAGUCCAUUUUUUCUUGUCCCAUAAGGUGAAAAUUCACACUAUUGACUGUCACGCCUGUACGCUUUGUCAAAAUUACACAAAAAUUGACACACACAUGUAUCUCAAUAAGAUCUACAAAAAAGUCAGUGCUGGCAUAUCUGUCAAAUGUACGGUUAAAGGGUUAUUGCGCAUUUUUUGCCGAUCCGCACACAUUGGAAUUUCGCUAACUCCUCCGAAGGCUUUCGUUCCACCGGCACCACAUUUGCUCAGGCCAAUCUACACCCCAUGGCCAUUAAAAGUUAUUCAAAUCAUGACGCUGCACCCCACGGUUUAGGUUCUAGGGGGCGCCAAAGAUAACCCUAAAAUCCACAUAUUUAAAAGUCUUUUAACUUUUUAUUUUUGUCCUCUCUGGCCUCCAAGUUUUCUAGGAUGAUGCAAUGUCCAGCCAUCAACACAUUUGUGAAGGAAUUUUUACUCCCCAAAAGAGCGCCCCCCCAUGGCAGGAGAAAAAAGUCCAUUUUUUCUUGUCCCAUAAGGUGAAAAUACACAUUGUUGACUGUCAUACCUGUAUGCUUUGUCAUAUUGACACAAAAUUUGACACACACAUGUAUCUCAAUAAGAUCUACGAAAAAGUCAAUGCGCGCGUAUCUGUAAAAUGUACGGUUAAAGGGCUAUUUUGCAUUUUUUGCCGAUUAGCACACAUUGGAAUGUGGCUAACUCCUCCUAAGGCUUUCGUCCCACUGACACCAAAUUUGCUCAGGCCAAUCUACACCCCAUGGCCAUUCAAAGUUUUAAAAAUCAUGACGCUGCACCCCACGGUUUACGUUCUAGGGGGCGCCAAAGAUGACCCAAAUAUCCACAUUCUUAAAAGUCUUUUAACUUUUUAUUUUUGUCCUCACUGGCCUCCAAGUUUUCUAGGAUGAUGCAAUGUCCAGCCAUCAACACAUUUGUGAAGGAAUUUUUACUCCCCAAAAGAGCGCCCCCCCAUGGCAGGAGAAAAAAGUCCAUUUUUUCUUGUCCCCUAAGGUGAAAAUACACAUUGUUGACUGUCACGCCUGUACGCUUUGGCAAAAUGACACAAAAAUUGACAAUCAUGUGUAUCUCAAUUAGAUCUACGAAAAAGUCAAAGAGCGCGUAUCUGUAUAAUGUACGGUAAAAGGGCUAUUUUGCAUUUUUUGCCAAUUCGCACACAUUGGAAUUUCGCUAACUCCUCCUAAGGCCUUCGUCCCACUGACACCAAAUUUGCUCAGGCCAAUCUACACUCCAUGGCCAUUCAAAGUUGUAAAAAUCAUGACGCUGCACCCCACGGUUUACGUUUUAGGGGGCGCCAAAGAUGACCCAAAUAUACAUUACAGUACACAAAGUAGUUUUGCCCACUGAGUGGCGCCAAAGGGACUUGUCUGUGGAGUCUGUGAGUCACUAUUGGCCGUUUUUGACUACUUUAGAUUUUACCUUUAUAUUUCCUCUUACAAAAUUUUUACCUUGCCUUGCCUGGUAUCAUUUUUUUCAGCACAACCUCACCUGUGUCAAUUUACAGUUAUUUUAUCAUUUUGACAUACUAUAUUUACACAUUGGACCCAAAUUCACACACAAAACAUAAAAUCCGAGUGGAAAAAAGUAACGUUUUUACUGUGAAAACCACAAAUAUGUGUGAUGAACUGUUUUUAAAACUUAAACUUCAAAUAAAAAUUGUAAACUUCAAAACAUAUGCAAAUUUUUAACAAAGAACAUAGUAAUUUACCUCUAUUGACAUCAAAAUGCAGGCAAUGGCCCAGGUGUUCUUUGUAAAAUUAUUUACAAAACACUGUAUAGUCUCACAAAUGUCACUUUUUAUUUAUGCCACUACAAAAAAACAUGAUGUAAAUGAUGCAUGAUGUAAAACAUGAUGUAAAAAACUUGUGUAGAUCCUCCUCUAUGUUAGUCCAUGUGUAAUUUUUCCAUAAUUCUUUGUUUUUUGCAGCAUUUUUGUUAGUGUAACUGCAGAUUGUGCUGACAGUGUCUAUGGCAAAAAAAAAAAAAAAAAAAACUGAAAAUGCCUCAACAUGAACCCCUGGUGGUCUCUGAGGGUGAAACCUGCUAACUGCUGCAGCUCUGUCAGCUUCAGUCUCCCAUGCAGAGCUCGGAGCGCAUGUGUGGCUCUGCACCCUUAGCAGUGUUGCUAACUCCUCAGUAAGGAAAGCCUGCUUCAUGUCAGAGUCUCUAAACUCCAGAAGAAGUCGAUAAAAGUCACUUUCUUUCUAAAAAAAAGUCGUUAGGGGGUCUGAAAAGUCAUUGAAUCUAACAACAAAGUCGCUAGGUUUGCAACUACGUGUCCCAGACUGCAUCCCUGCUGAGAGUCCCUCCCUCCCUUCUCAUAUUGCAGGAAGAACGUAAGUUCCCGCCCCUUGUCAAUCAGUCACCAUAUAAUUUUGGAUUGGUUGUUGUGGUGAAGUUUUCCACCAAUAGGAGAGAUGUUGUGGUGUGUAUUUUUUUUCCUUUGGCAAGCCUUUUCCGCCUGUAAGACCUGUCGCUAAUGUCUGCAUGCUAUGUUUUCCUGUCUCAUACAGCGCGAUCGAGCGCCGAACGUGAUCAAAAUAAGCAGAAAACAAGUAUCGCGGACAUAAUUUAUCAUAACUCUGGUUUUAUUUGGCCUAUCAACACAAUUUAAAAACUGGUAUAUAGGUUGAGGUCCUCACUUUUGAGAUAAAUUGAAACGGAGAGUCAACGAGGCUCUGUCUUGCAGCUACAUCCGGUUAAAUAUGUCAUAUGACUUGAACGCACACACACACACACACACACACACACAAAGACACACACACACACGCACACACACACACUCAGAGUCUGGUUUUUAGCACCUGCAAAAACAUGCUAUUUACAUAUUUGACAAGAAUGCAGAGGCUCCUUUUGCCCCUGAAAAAAAUCAAAUUUCAAACACAACUUGACUGGUCAUUUCUCCAAAAGACAACCAUGAAGCUCCAUCCAAACCUGAAGCAGGCAGUUGGUGCAUGUGUACAGUAACCUGAGGGGAGGUGACUGCUUCUGAGGAGAACAUGAGCAGUGAAGAUUCACCUUAGAGCUAGAACAGAGACGUGCACAUGAUUAUACAGGGGCAGGGGCUCAAGUUUUUUCCAGUUGUUUAUACAAUAUGGAAAUUAAUGUGAAAUUAAAAAACAAAGUAUUAAUAGAAAGGUAAUGACUGUCCUGUGUAGGUGACAGUGAUAUCCAAUAGGCUAGGCACUCACGAGGCUGGCUGUGGCAAGUGUAAGUGAAAGCAACACGCACUGGCAGGAAGAACAGCAAACGCCGAUGAAGGAAAAGGGUCUUUGCAGUGAUGGGCGUUACCAGAGAGGGCGACGGCCAGAGGACGCGAAUGGGACGGGGAGGCAGCGCGUUGGGGGGGGGACGCGACACAGCUCGGGCCCGCCAGUGCCCCAACGGGGUCCUAGUUAUUAUUUUUCCUCCCCUUUGAACUGGAAAAUGGCCCACUUCCCACUGGCGAAAACUCAUGAAAUUUGGCAGGACGACCGGGCCUGGUGAAAAAUUUGAUAUUCUGAAGUCGCCCAAACAAGAAAAUGCAAAAUGGCUCCAUAGCGCCCCCUAAGGUGAAAAAUUCACCUGACGCCUGUACGCUUUGUCAAAAUGACACAAAAAUUGACACACACAUGUAUCUCAAUAAGAUCUACAAAAAAGUCAGUGCGGUCGUAUCUGUCAAAUGUACGGUUAAAGGGUUAUUGCGCAUUUUUUGCCGAUCCGCACACAUUGGAAUUUCGCUAACUCCUCCGAAGGCUUUCGUUCCACCGGCACCACAUUUGCUCAGGCCAAUCUACACCCCAUGGCCAUUAAAAGUUAUUCAAAUCAUGACGCUGCACCCCACGGUUUAGGUUCUAGGGGACGCCAAAGAUAACCCUAAAAUCCACAUAUUUAAAAGUCUUAUAACUUUUUAUUUUUGUCCUCACUGGCCUCCAAGUUUUCUAGGAUGAUGCAAUGUCCAGCCAUCAACACAUUUGUGAAGGAAUUUUUAAUCCCCAAAAGAGCGCCCCCCCAUGGCAGGAGAAAAAAGUCCAUUUUUUCUUGUCCCCUAAGGUGAAAAUACACAUUGUUGAGUGUCACGCCUGUACGCUUUGUCAUAUUGACACAAAAUUUGACACACACAUGAAUCUCAAUAAGAUCUACGAAAAAGUCAAUGCGCGCGUAUCUGUCAAAUGUACGGUUAAAGGGUUAUUCCGCAUUUUUUGCUGAUCCGCACACAUUGGAAUUUCGCUAACUCCUCCUAAGGCUGGCGUUCCACCGGCACCACAUUUGCUCAGGCCAAUCUACACCCCAUGGCCAUUAAAAGUUAUUCAAAUCAUGACGCUGCACCCCACGGUUUAGGUUCUAGGGGGCGCCAAAGAUAACCCUAAAAUCCACAUAUUUCAAAGUCUUAUAACUUUUUAUUUUUGUCCUCACUGGCCUCCAAGUUUUCUAGGAUGAUGCAAUGUCCAGCCAUCAACACAUUUGUGAAGGAAUUUUUACUCCCCAAAAGAGCGCCCCCCCAUGGCAGGAGAAAAAAGUCCAUUUUUUCUUGUCCCAUAAGGUGAAAAAACACAUUGUUGACUGUCAUACCUGUACGCUUUGUCAUAUUGACACAAAAUUUGACAAUCACAUGUAUCUCAAUAAGAUCUACGAAAAAGUCAAUGCGCGCGUAUCUGUAAAAUGUACGGUUUAAGGGCUAUUUUGCAUUUUUUGCCGAUUCGCACACAUUGGAAUGUGGCUAACUCCUCCUAAGGCUUUCGUCCCACUGACACCAAAUUUGCUCAGGCCAAUCUACACCCCAUGGCCAUUCCAAGUUUUAAAAAUCAUGACGCUGCACCCCACGGUUUACGUUCUAGGGGGCGCCAAAGAUGACCCAAAUAUCCACAUUCUUAAAAGAAUCCACAUCCCCCCCCCCCCCAUCCCCCAACCCCCAACCCCCAUGGCAGGAGAAACAGUCAAGUUUUUCCUGCCCAUCACUCAAUGGCUCAAUCGCAUCACUCUCCCGGCAACACCGUAACGAGGAGCAACUUGCCGUUUGGAUAUAUCCUAGCUGUGUUAUGUGCCCUCACUCAUGGUCCAGACUUUUUUCAAAUAGGACAUGUAGUUUGUCUGCAGCGAGUGUUUUGGUAGAAACUGCGCCUCCCAUUCAUUAUAAUGGGAAAUGACCACAGACAAGUGCGCACACCAUCUUUGGACCUUGAGUGUGACGCGAUCGGGAGGGGGAGGCGGUCGCGCUAGGGGCGGCGCAACGCGGCUCGGGCCCGACAGUGCCCCACCGGGGCCCUAGUUCUUUCUUUCUUUCUUCUUUUUCCUCCCCUUUGAACUGGAAAAUGGCCCACUUCCCACUGGCGAAAACUCAUGAAAUUUGGCAGGACGACCGGGCCUGGUGAAAAAUUCGAUAUUCUGAAGUCGCCCAAACAAUAAAAUGCAAAAUGGCUCCAUAGCGCCCCCUAAGGUGGAAAUUCACACUAUUGACUGUCACGCCUGUACGCUUUGUCAUAUUGACACAAAAAUUGACACACAUAUGUAUCUCAAUAAGAUCUACAAAAAAGUCAGUGCGGCCGUAUCUGUCAAAAUUACGGUUAAAGGGUUAUUUCGCAUUUUUUGCCGAUCCGCACACAUUGGAAUUUCGCUAACUCCUCCGAAGGCUUUCGUUCCACCGGCACCACAUUUGCUCAGGCCAAUCUACACCCCGUGGCCAUUAAAAGUUAUCAAAAUCAUGACGCUGCACCCCAAGGUUUAGGUUCUAGGGGGCGCCAAAGAUAACACUAAAAUCCACAUAUUUAAAAGUCUUAUAACUUUUUAUUUUUGUCCUCACUGGCCUCCAAGUUUUCUAGGAUGAUGCAAUGUCCAGCCAUCAACACAUUUGUGAAGGAAUUUUUACUCCCCAAAAGAGCGCCCCCCAUGGCAGGAGAAAAAAGUCCAUUUUUUCUUGUCCCCUAAGGUGAAAAUACACAUUGUUGAGUGUCACGCCUAUACGCUUUGUCAAAAUGACACAAAAAUUGACACACACAUGUAACUCAAUAAGAUCUACAAAAAAGUCCAUGCGCGCGUAUCUGUCAAAUGUACAGUUAAAGGGUUAUUCCGCAUUUUUUGCCGAUACGCACACAUUGGAAUUUCGCUAACUCCUCCGAAGGCUUUCGUUCCACCGGCACCACAUUUGCUCAGGCCAAUCUACACCCCAUGGCCAUUAAAAGUUAUUCAAAUCAUGAUGCUGCACCCCAUGGUUUAGGUUCUAGGGGGCGCCAAAAAUAACCCAAAAAUCCACAUUCUUAAAUGUUUUAUAACUUUUUAUUUUUGUCCUCACUGGCCUCCAAGUUUUCUAGGAUGAUGCAAUGUCCAGCCAUCAACACAUUUGUGAAGGAAUUUUUACUCCCCAAAAGAGCGCCCCCCAUGGUAGGAGAAAAAAGUCAAUUUUUUCUUGUCCCCUUACAUAAAAAUACACAUUGUUGAGUGUCACGCCUGAACGCUUUGUCAUAUUGACACAAAAAUUGACAAUCAUGUGUAUCUCAAUUAGAUCUACGAAAAAGUCAAAGAGCGCGUAUCUGUAUAAUGUACGGUUAAAGGGCUAUUUUGCAUUUUUUGCCGAUUCGCACACAUUGGAAUGUGGCUAUCUCCUCCUGAGGCUUUCGUCCCACCGAUACCAAAUUUGCUCAGGGCAAUCUACACCCCAUGCCCAUUCAAAGUUGUAAAAAUCAUGACGCUGCACCCCACGGUUUACGUUCUAGGGGGCGCCAAAGAUGACCCAAAAAUCCACAUUCUUAAAAGUCAUUUUGGCCACUGCAGGAGUACAGAGUACUGCAGUUCUAGGGGGCGCCAAAGAUGACCCAAAAAUCCACAUUCUUAAAAGUCUUUUUGGCCACUGCAGGAGUACAGAGUACUGCAGGAUACACACACAUAUACACACACGCCAACAUACACACACACACACACACACACACACACACACACACACACACACACACACACAGACACACACACACACUCAGAGUCUGUUUUUUAGCACUUGCAAAAACAUGCUGUUUACAUAUUUGACAAGAAUGCAGAGGCUUCCUUUUGCCCCUGAAAAAAAUCAAAUUUCAAACACAACUUGACUGUUAAUUUCUCCAAAAGACAACCAUGAAGCUCCAUUUCAAACCUGAAGCAGAUAGUUGGUGCAUGUGUACAGUAACCUGAGGGGAGUGAGGUGACUAUUUCUGAGGAGAACAUGAGCAGUGAAGAUUCACCUUGGAGCUAGAACAGGGACGUGCACAUGAUUAUACAGGGGCAGGGGCUCAAGUUUUUUCCAGUCAUUUAUACAAUAUGGAAAUUAAUGUGAAAUUAAACCACAAAUAUGUGUGAUGAACUGUUUUUAAAACUUAAACUUCAAAUAAAAAUUGUAAACUUCAAAACAUAUGCAAAUUUUUAACAAAGAACAUAGUAAUUUACCUCUAUUUACAUCAAAAUGCAGGCAAUGGCCCAGGCGUUCUUUGUAAAAUUAUUUACAAAACACUGUAUAGUCUCACAAAUGUCACUUUUUAUUUAUGCCACUACAAAAAAACAUGAUGUAAAUGAUGCAUGAUGUAAAACAUGAUGUAAAAAACUUGUGUAGAUCCUCCUCUAUGUCAGUCCAUGUGUAAUUUUUCCAUAAUUCUUUGUUUUUUGCAGCAUUUUUGUUAGUGUAACUGCAGAUUUUGCUGACAGUGUCUAUGGCACAAAAAAAAAAAAAAAUUAAAAUGCCUCAACAUGAACCCCUGGUGGUCUCUGAGGGUGAAACCUGCUAACUGCUGCAGCUCUGUCAGCUUCAGUCUCCCAUGCAGAGCUCUGAGCGCAUGUGUGGCUCUGCACCCUUAGCAGCGUUGCUAACUCCUCAGUAAGGAAAGCCUGCUUCAUGUCAGAGUCUCUAAACUCCAGAAGAAGUCGAUAAAAGUCCCUUUCUUUCUAAAAAAGUCGUUAGGGUGUCUGAAAAGUCAUUGAAUCUAACAACAAAGUCGCUAGGUUUGCAACUACGUGUCCCAGACUGCAUCCCUGCUGAGAGUCCCUCCCUCCCUUCUCAUGUUGCAGGAAGAACGUAAGCGCCCGCCCCUUGUCAAUCAGUCACCAUAUAAUUUUGGAUUGGUUGUUGUGGUGAAGUUUUCCACCAAUAGGAGAGAUGUUGUGGUGUGUUUUUUUUUUCUUUUGGCAAGCCUUUUCCGCCUGUAAGACCUGUCGCUAAUGUCUGCAUGCUAUGUUUUCCUGUCUCAUACAGCGCGAUCGAGCGCCGAACGUGAUCAAAAUAAGCAGAAAAAAAGUAUCGCGGACAUAAUUUAUCAUAACUCUGGUUUUAUUUGGCCUAUCAACACAAUUUAAAAACUGGUAUAUAGGUUGAGGUCCUCACUUUUGAGAUAAGUUGAAACGGAGAGUCAACGAGGCUCCGUCUUGCAGCUACAUCAGGUUAAAUAUGUCAUGUGACUUGAACGCACACAUAGACACACACACACGCACACACACACACACACACACACACACACACACACACACUCAGAGUCUGGUUUUUAGCACCUGCAAAAACAUGCUAUUUACAUAUUUGACAAGAAUGCAGAGGCUCCUUUUGCCCCUGAAAAAAAUCAAAUUUCAAACACAACUUGACUGGUCAUUUCUCCAAAAGACAACCAUGAAGCUCCAUCCAAACCUGAAGCAGGCAGUUGGUGCAUGUGUACAGUAACCUGAGGGGAGUGAGGUGAGUGCUUCUGAGGAGAACAUGAGCAGUGAAGAUUCACCUUGGAGCUAGAACAGAGACAUGCACAUGAUUAUACAGGGGCAGGGGCUCAAGUUUUUUCCAGUCGUUUAUACAAUAUGGAAAUUAAUGUGAAAUUAAAACACAAAGUAUUAAUAGAAAGGUAAUGACUGUCCUGUGUAGGUGACAGUGAUAUCCAAUAGGCUAGGCACUCACGAGGCUGGCUGUGGCAAGUGUAAGUGAAAGCAACACGCACUGGCAGGAAGAACAGCAAACGCCGAUGAAGGAAAAGGGUCUUUGCAGUGAUGGGCGUUACCAGAGAGGGCGAUGGCCAGAGGACACAAAUGGGACGGGGAGGCAGCACGUUGGGGGGGGGGGACGCGACACGGCUCGGGCCCGCCAGUGCCCCAACGGGGUCCUAGUGUUAUUAUUAUUAUUAUUAUUUUUCCUCCCCUUUGAACUGGAAAAUGGCCCACUUCCCACUGGCGAAAACUCAUGAAAUUUGGCAGGACGACCGGGCCUGGUGAAAAAUUUGAUAUUCCGAAGUCGCCCAAACAAGAAAAUGCAAAAUGGCUCCAUAGCGCCCCCUAAGGUGAAAAUUCACACUAUUCACUGUCACGCCUGUACGCUUUGUCAAAAUGAUACAAAAAUUGACACACACAUGUAUCUCAAUAAGAUCUACAAAAAAGUCAGUGCGGGCGUAUCUGUCAAAUGUACGGUUAAAGGGUUAUUUCGCAUUUUUUGCCGAUCCGCACACAUUGGAAUUUCGCUAACUCCUCCGAAGGCUUUCGUUCCACCGGCACCACAUUUGCUCAGGCCAAUCUACACCCCAUGGCCAUUAAAAGUUAUUCAAAUCAUGACGCUGCACCCCACGGUUUAGGUUCUAGGGGGCGCCAAAGAUAACCCUAAGAUCCACAUAUUUAAAAGUCUUAUAACUUUUUAUUUUUGCCCUCACUGGCCUCCAAGUUUUCUAGGAUGAUGCAAUGUCCAGCCAUCAACACAUUUGUGAAGGAGUUUUUUCUCUUUAAAAGAGCACCCCCCCAUGGCAGGAGAAUAAAGUCAAGUUUUUCCUGUUCAUCAUUCAAUGGCUCAAACGCACUGCUCUCUCGGCAAAAGCGAAAGGAGGAACAACUUGCCAUUUGGAUAUAUCUUAGCUGUGUUUGUGCCCUCACUCAUGGUCCAGACUUUUUUCAAAUAGGACAUGGAGUUUUUCUGCAGCGAGCGUUUUGGUAGAAACUGCGCCUCCCGUUCAUUAUAAUGGUAAAUGACCACAAACAAGUGCGCACACCAUCUUUGGACCUUGAGUGUGACGCGAUCGGGUGGGGGAGGCGGUCGCGCUGGGGGCGGCGUGACACGGCUCGGGCCCGCCAGUGCCCCAACGGGGCCCUAGUUAGGGCCCGAGCGUAGCUGCUAAGCAGCUGCGAGAGCCCUCUUGUUCCUGAUGGAUUCUUCUUUUGUUAUUAUUAUUAUUAUUUUUCCUCCGCUUUAAACUGGAAAAUGGCCCACUUCCCACUGGCGAAAACUCAGGAAAUUUGGCAGGACGACCGGGCCUGGUGAAAAAUUCGAUAUUCUGAAGUCGCCCAAACAAUAAAAUGCAAAAUGGCUCCAUAGCGCCCCCUAAGGUGAAAAUUCACACUAUUGACUGUCACGCCUGUACGCUUUGUCAUAUUGACACAAAAAUUGACACACACAUGUAUCUCAAUAAGAUCUACAAAAAAGUCAGUGCGGGC